Molecule: ribosomal RNA, 503 nt
Filed under: Bactrocera resima
Lineage: Eukaryota; Metazoa; Arthropoda; Insecta; Diptera; Tephritidae
Description: partial large subunit ribosomal RNA
Rfam family: Bacterial large subunit ribosomal RNA
Source: RNAcentral
CCUGUUUUACAAAAACAUGUCUUUUUGAGUUAUUUUUAAAGUCUGACCUGCCCACUGAAUAAAAUUAAAUGGCCGCAGUAUUUUAACUGUGCAAAGGUAGCAUAAUCAUUAGUCUUUUAAUUGAAGGCUGGUAUGAACGGUUGGACGAGGUAUAAGCUGUUUCAUAUGAAUUUAUAAUAGAAUUUUAUAUUUUAGUUAAAAAGCUAAAAUUUAAUUAAAAGACGAGAAGACCCUAUAAAUCUUUAUACUUUAAAUUAUUUAAGUUUUGUGGAUUAAUUUUAUUUUUAUAGUUUGAAGUAUUUUGUUGGGGUGAUGUUAAAAUUUAAUGAACUUUUAAUUAUUUAGAAUCAUUAAUUUAUGAGCUAUUGAUCCAUUAGUAGUGAUUAUAAGUUUAAGUUACUUUAGGGAUAACAGCGUAAUUUUUUUGGAGAGUUCUUAUCGAUAAAAAAGUUUGCGACCUCGAUGUUGGAUUAAGAUAUAUUUUUAGGUGUAGGCGCUUAAAC